Molecule: ribosomal RNA, 499 nt
Filed under: uncultured Glomeromycotina
Lineage: Eukaryota; Fungi; Glomeromycota
Description: partial small subunit ribosomal RNA
Rfam family: Eukaryotic small subunit ribosomal RNA
Source: RNAcentral
CCAAUAGCGUAUAUUGAAGUUGUUGCAGUUAAAAAGCUCGUAGUUGAAUUUCGGGAUCAGUUGGUCGGUCGUGCCUCGGUACGUACUGGUCAAAUUGAUUCCUACCUUCUGACGAACCACGAUGUCAUUAAUUUGGUGUCGCGGGAAAUCAGGACUGUUACUUUGAAAAAAUUAGAGUGUUUAAAGCAGGCUCGCGCUUGAAUACAUUAGCAUGGAAUAAUGAAAUAGGACGUUUGAUUCUAUUUUGUUGGUUUCUAGGAUCGACGUAAUGAUUAAUAGGGAUAGUUGGGGGCAUUAGUAUUCAAUUGUCAGAGGUGAAAUUCUUGGAUUUAUUGAAGACUAACUACUGCGAAAGCAUUUGCCAAGGAUGUUUUCAUUAAUCAAGAACGAAAGUUAGGGGAUCGAAGACGAUCAGAUACCGUCGUAGUCUUAACCAUAAACUAUGCCGACUAGGGAUCGGAUGAUGUUAAUUUUUUAAUGACUCAUUCGGCGCCUUACG